ACGCACGCUGGCGGCGUGCUUAACACAUGCCAGUCGAACGGAAAGGCCUCUUUCGGGGGGUACUCGAGUGGCGAACGGGUGAGUAACACGUGAGUAACCUGCCCUUGACUUUGGGAUAACUUCAGGAAACUGGGGCUAAUACCGGAUAGGAGCUCCUGCUGCAUGGUGGGGGUUGGAAAGUUUCGGCGGUUGGGGAUGGACUCGCGGCUUAUCAGCUUGUUGGUGGGGUAGUGGCUUACCAAGGCUUUGACGGGUAGCCGGCCUGAGAGGGUGACCGGCCACAUUGGGACUGAGAUACGGCCCAGACUCCUACAGGAGGCAGCAGUGGGGAAUAUUGCACAAUGGGUGGAAGCCUGAUGCAGCAACGCCGUGUGCGGGAUGACGGCCUUCGGGUUGUAAACCGCUUUCGCUCAUGACGAAGCUUUGUGUGACGGUAGUGGGUAAAGAAGCACCGGCUAACUACGUG
RNAcentral lists this ribosomal RNA (466 nucleotides) under uncultured bacterium. Its description in RNAcentral is "partial 16S ribosomal RNA". It matches the Rfam family "Bacterial small subunit ribosomal RNA", at positions 29 to 507 of the family's 1533-position model. The record is from RNAcentral.